Long non-coding RNA from Mus musculus (house mouse), 1789 nucleotides. RefSeq annotates it as predicted gene, 38944. NCBI's taxonomy places the organism in Eukaryota, Metazoa, Chordata, Mammalia, Rodentia, Muridae. The record is from RefSeq and is a predicted model, not a curated record. The transcript is spliced from 2 exons.
GCAGAGGCAGGCGGAACUCUGAGUUCAAGACCAGCCUGGCUUACAGAGUGAGUUCCAGGACAGCCAGGGCUAUACAGAGAUCCUAUCUCAAACAGAUAGAGAAACCCUGUCUCAAACAAACCAACCAACCAACAAACAAACAAACAGCAGUUAUCAAGGAAAGUGAUUCAUGACUGGCACAACUAGAUCCUUUGCACAACUAUAAGAACAUCUAGCAUAAGAAACCAAACUACCAAGCUACUGAUACAUGGGUCCAAAGUAACAGGACAGAACAACAUCCCAGGUGGCAAAUGAAAUGGCUCAGGAAAGGGAAAAGGCACUUGCUGUAAAGUGACAAGCUGAGCUUGGUUCGCAGGACCCACAUGGUUGAAACAGAGAACCCACUCCUGCAAGUUGUCCUCUGACCUCCACUCUGGUGUUCAUGGCACACAAGCCCUAUUCCCAAAUGAAUAACACAACAAAAAUAAAAAUGCCCAAGGUUUUUGUAGUCUUGUCAUUUAACUACUUCUUGAGUUCAUUAAAGAAAGGAAUACCUGUCACGUUACAAAUAUUUCCAAUUUGUAAGUGAAAUAAUUAUAUAAAAAAAGUACUAAGUAUGAUGAAUUGGAAGCUCUCCCUUAUUAUAAGGUACAACAUCCGAUUGCAUAAAUAGCCUGUGAUUCACUCAACAGUUGGACAGUGAACCUAAACCAAGAUAACUUCGAUGUCACCAAGUGUUGCAUCUAAGACAGUGGUGCUAUGGGUCUAAAUGUUGUGAGGCCCCUGCAAUAUGUAUAAUAUAAACCAAGAUCUGCCUUUAGAAGACUAUGCUCACACUUGGGUAUAUUAUUCUUUUCUAAACGCCUAUUAGCCCCAGUACUUAAAACUGUUAUAAAUGUAGGGGCCAGAGAGAUGGCUCAUUGGCUAAGAGAACUUGCUGUCCUUGCGGAGGACCCAGUUUGGCGUCUCAGAACACACAUGGCGACUACAAAACUUCUCUUUGUAACACCAGUUCCAGAAGAUCCAACACCCUCUCCUGGCCUCUAUGUACGAUGCAUGCGUGCAAAACAUACACAUACGAAUAAAUAUUUUUAAAUUUUAUUUUACUGUUUUAAAUGUAUCUUAACUCCAGCUCCGCUUUAAUAUGUACUACGUAUAAUAAAACAAGACUUCGUCUCAGAAAAAUAAAGGCAAACAUAGUACUGGAUGCAAAACAUCCCUAAUUUCCCUAAGGUGGAGAACCCUUCCCAAGGUGCCCCAAAUGCACAAGGUUGGCUGAGAAAACUGAGCACUGGAUUGGGGUACCAACAGAGCUCAAGCCCGCGAGGGACAACGGGAAAUGUAGUCCAAGAUAGGGAAGCCUAUGAAAAACGGUACGGCCAAGCAUCGCAAUUAGUCUGAAGGCUGAGACUCGGUCCGCGGCGCCUGCUUCCAUACUUACCAUGGAGCUUCGGGAUAGCUCCAGAUCCUUCAGCUGUUUCCUCUUUGGCCGGGCUGCCUGCUGCCCACAGCAGGAUUCCCACCUCAAGACCAGCGGACUCUGCCAGGUGGUGAUAUUAGUAGCCAAAUAGAAAAUCUCGAGAAAUCUGGACUGGAAAGAUGGUUGAGUGGAUAAAAGCUCUUGUUGCUUAUUCAGAGGACUGGAGUUGGACUAGAGUCAUCACAUUGGGUGACUUACAACUUCCUAUAAUUCCAUCUUCAAGAAACCCCUUAUAAUCUUCUUGAGUACCUGUGUACAUGUGAAUAUACAUACAUACACAUAAAUAGAAACAAAUUUUAACUGAAAAUAAAAUCUCAAGAAAAACCCAAA